GGGCGGUUAGUCUCAGUUGGUUAGAGCGCUUCCUUCACACGGAAGAGGUCACAGGUUCGAAUCCUGUACCGCCCACCA
RNAcentral lists this transfer RNA (78 nucleotides) under Candidatus Omnitrophica bacterium ADurb.Bin292. Its description in RNAcentral is "tRNA-Val". It matches the Rfam family "tRNA". Rfam says of the family: Transfer RNA (tRNA) molecules are approximately 80 nucleotides in length. Lineage: Bacteria; Pseudomonadati; Candidatus Omnitrophota. RNAcentral also lists the same sequence under 1 other name. The record is from RNAcentral.